AGGCAGAAGCCAUUUCUAUUGAUGAUAAAAUGUUCUCAGAGCUUUUGAAUUCUCGUAAUUGUAGAGCCUUCAAAUAUCUAAAUCUUCCUAACCUUCCUUAUCUAUCUUUUCAAAUUAGUCAAAACCUAACCUUAUUCGAAUGCAACAACAAGCUUAGUGAUCAUCCUUCCCUGUUGGAGUAUUCAGGCUGCAAUAACUCAAGUAUAUAUUAUACUGAACGAGAAAUUUUGCCAAGUCUUCCACCUCAGUGUUCACUUAUUCAGCUUCCCCGGACUCAAAAUGGUCAGGAUGACAUAUUUACUCAGUUAACUGCCAA
Molecule: unclassified non-coding RNA, 316 nt
Filed under: Hevea brasiliensis (rubber tree)
Lineage: Eukaryota; Viridiplantae; Streptophyta; Magnoliopsida; Malpighiales; Euphorbiaceae
Source: RNAcentral